CCUACGGGAGGCAGCAGUGGGGAAUAUUGCACAAUGGGGGAAACCCUGAUGCAGCGACGCCGCGUGAGUGAAGAAGUAUUUCGGUACGUAAAGCUCUAUCAGCAGGGAAGAAAAUGACGGUACCUGACUAAGAAGCCCCGGCUAACUACGUGCCAGCAGCCGCGGUAAU
This 169-nucleotide ribosomal RNA is filed under the name uncultured bacterium. RNAcentral's name for it is "partial 16S ribosomal RNA". It matches the Rfam family "Bacterial small subunit ribosomal RNA", at positions 338 to 524 of the family's 1533-position model. The record is from RNAcentral.